AACGAACGCUGGCGGCAUGCCUAACACAUGCAAGUCCAACGAGACCUUCGGGUCUAGUGGCGCACGGGUGCGUAACGCGUGGGAACCUGCCCUUAGGUUCGGAAUAACUCCCCGAAAGGGGUGCUAAUACCGGAUAAUGUCUUCGGACCAAAGAUUUAUCGCCUUUGGAUGGGCCCGCGUUGGAUUAGCUAGUUGGUAGGGUAAAAGCCUACCAAGGCGACGAUCCAUAGCUGGUCUGAGAGGAUGAUCAGCCACACUGGGACUGAGACACGGCCCAGACUCCUACGGGAGGCAGCAGUGGGGAAUAUUGGACAAUGGGCGAAAGCCUGAUCCAGCAAUGCCGCGUGAGUGAUGAGGGCCUUAGGGUUGUAAAGCUCUUUUACCCGGGAUGAUAAUGACAGUACCGGGAGAAUAAGCUCCGGCUAACUCCGUG
RNAcentral lists this ribosomal RNA (433 nucleotides) under uncultured bacterium. RNAcentral's name for it is "partial 16S ribosomal RNA". It matches the Rfam family "Bacterial small subunit ribosomal RNA", at positions 29 to 507 of the family's 1533-position model. The record is from RNAcentral.